ACAAAAUGGGUAUAAGUGUUGUCU
RNAcentral lists this non-coding RNA (24 nucleotides) under Arabidopsis thaliana (thale cress). The record is from RNAcentral. Lineage: Eukaryota; Viridiplantae; Streptophyta; Magnoliopsida; Brassicales; Brassicaceae.